UAGCUUUAAGAUUUUUCAUUUAAAGUUUUACCUGCCCGGUGGAAUUUCUUAACGGCCGCAGUACUUUGACUGUGCUAAGGUAGCAUAAUAAAUUGGCUUUUAAUUAAAGUCGGGUAUGAAAGGGAAUUUGGAAAAUAACUGUCUCAAGUAUAUUUUAUUUUAAUUUAAUUAAUGAGUGAAAAUUCUCAUAUUUUAUUUCAUUAGACGAGAAGACCCUAAGAGUUAUAAUUAAAAUGAAUUUAUUUCAUAUAUCAUUUUUGUUGGGGCAACAAAGACUGGAUAGAACCGUUAAAAACUAAUUUUACAUAACCAAUAAUAUUUAAAAAGAAAUAAACUACCUUAGGGAUAACAGCAUAAUUAAUUUUUAGAUUGUGACCUCGAUGUUGGAUUAAGGACUUAGUUUACUAGCCGUAAACUAAGAUAGUUCUGUUCGAACUGUAGUACCUU
RNAcentral lists this ribosomal RNA (447 nucleotides) under Vertigo pusilla. RNAcentral describes it as "partial 16S ribosomal RNA". The record is from RNAcentral. Lineage: Eukaryota; Metazoa; Mollusca; Gastropoda; Stylommatophora; Vertiginidae.